GGUCCUGACGACUUGGCAGAAGCAGACGAGAUGUGGUCUGUUUGCAUGGGAGUGUGGCACGUUUCUGCCUUCAGGAGAUGAUAAUGCAUUUGUGUUUGUUUAUGGCUGAGAGAAUGCUGAACUCGUUGAGUCAGAGUUAAGCCAGUGAUGCAAGAAAAACAAGAUGAGUUUGGAAAGAGGUAGAAAAACAGAGUGUAUCACAAUAGCCUCUCUGUAUCUUUGCUCUUCCUCUUCACUGAUAUAACCCUCUGAUCGGAAGUCUGACCAGAUAUAAGUCACAUAGAUCAGUAAAAGCACAGUCCAGUCAGCAGCUCCAGCAUGGACUCCAGUGUCUGUCCCUCCAGCAGAUUUCCAUCAGCAGCAGCAGCCAGGCAUCCGGUCUUUAUCGCUAAACGCUAGCAGCUAGCAGGGGCGGCUCCAUUGCAGAAGACUGGGUGGACAGAGGUAGCAUGUUGAAGAAAUGCAUAGCCAGCCAACAGAGAAGAGCAGAAGGUUGAGGUAGAGGAAUACGAGUUAAAGAAGACAAGAGGACGAAGAACUGUGGAAGAGAAGGAGCUCCAAGCAGGCAUCCAUGGAAGCUAAAGAUGAAGAGGAGAAAAAUUACGAAGACAUGGACUACAUGAUGCCCUUCAUCACAGGGUGUUCUGGAAGUUUCAGCGUGACUUCCACAAGGACUGUCCCAUCAAAUUAAUGUCUACAUUGACCAACUUGACAACGACAUGAAAUAUGACAGUCAUUGCCAAAACUCAUCGAUCUAUUCCACCACAAACAGAUCUGAUAACACAACAAAUAGUCAUUCUAAAUCAUUCUGCUCUGAUGGCAACAACAUGCACGCUUGGUAAUAAAACAACAACAGAAAAGGAGAUAUUUUCUUUACUACAUUUAAAAUACAGAUAUCAAUUGCAUUUUUUGCAUGUUUAAUUUAGUCUUUUUCCUUUUGUAUCUAUACGUUUCUUUUUGAA
This is a long non-coding RNA of Cottoperca gobio, 962 nucleotides long. RefSeq lists it as uncharacterized. Lineage: Eukaryota; Metazoa; Chordata; Actinopteri; Perciformes; Bovichtidae. The transcript is spliced from 3 exons. The record is from RefSeq and is a predicted model, not a curated record.